Molecule: ribosomal RNA, 84 nt
Filed under: Gorilla gorilla gorilla (western lowland gorilla)
Lineage: Eukaryota; Metazoa; Chordata; Mammalia; Primates; Hominidae
Source: RNAcentral
GUCUGUGACCAUACCAGCGUUGCUGUGCCUGAUCUCAGAAGCUAAGCAGAGUUGGGCCUGGUUAGUACUUGGAUGACAGAGGGC